This 3355-nucleotide long non-coding RNA is filed under the name Fragaria vesca (wild strawberry). Its description in RNAcentral is "long non-coding RNA (FVES_LNC001005)". Lineage: Eukaryota; Viridiplantae; Streptophyta; Magnoliopsida; Rosales; Rosaceae. The record is from RNAcentral.
AUUUGUUAUGGUGGUUAUUAAUUUGUAGCUUGAUGAUUGGGUGCUUUGUCGAAUUUACAAGAAGAACAACACGCAUAGGCCGAUGGAUCUGGAGGACUCCAUGGACGGCACGAUGGGAUCGUCGUUUCCCCUGUCGAAGCUGCACCACCUUCCCCCGAAAUCGACGACAUCAACCUACGGCCAAUUCAUGGACAACGACCAUAAUUUCUACGACGGGAUGGUAAGCAGCGAAGGGAUCAAUACUAGUGCUUCUUUUCUUCCAAACUCGGCUUUGGCCAACAGCUCUCUCCCUCUAAAACGGGAACUCCCGAAUCUGUACUGGAAUCAUGAUCCGGAGGACGAAGCAGGGCCUUCAAGGAGACUACACAUGGACAGCAGUGAUCAGAGCACUGGAAAUGGUUCUAUUGCCAUUCUGCUUUCUCAGCUCCCUCAGACACCUCCUCCAUUGCACCAGCAGCCAAUGCUGGGGACGUCACAGCUCGGUGGCGACGCUCUGUUUCGUAGUACACAGUAUCAACUUCCGGGGAAUUGGUAUUCUUAGUCCAAUUUCGUAUUAGCGGCUUGGCACAUAUAUUCCAUAUGAUGAUGUUAAUUGUAAGCACACUCUUGUUGCUCAACAUAUAGUUGUAUAGAUUGGGAGUAGUAUUGGGGAUUUGAGAUUUUGAUUGCUGCAGUUGAGUUUUGGGCUCAUCAAAUUCAAUCGAGGUGUUAAAAUUUCAGGAGAGGCCAUAGCAAUAUAUUUGUAUACAUAAUUUUGCAGUUUUUUUUUAAUAUUCAAUCAUGUAGAAAUCAUGAGAAAAAAAAAAAGAUUGUAGAGAAAAUAAAACAUAUUUAUAUUAUAUUUGCUGUAUAUUUGUAGCGCUAGCUCUACUCUCUUUGUAUAUUGCAGUUAUAUAUUCAAAUCAUCAUAGAAAAAUUACUUAUUGUGCUGGGUUUUCCAUUUUCUAUUGCAAGCUUGAAACCCUUGAAAUGUAUAUUGCUGACUGCUCCAUGGUUUUACGUUAUGUUCAUCAGAUAAUAUGAAUUGUGAUAGUUGUAAACGGGAAGGCAAUAUGAUCUAUAUUGGAAUUAUUCCUUUCAUCAGCAUUCCCAGUUCAAAUGGUUUCAACGGGGUCGGACUUAUUUUCUUAUGCUAUCUCUCUAGAACAGAGAUAAGAAAAGAAAAUAGCUCCCCAAGUACCCAGUACAUGAUUAGACAUCUUAAACUAACUGGACGAGUGUAACAUUAAUAAAAGGUGCAUUUAUUUGAAGUCGCAUAUAUAUACUGGGAUCCCAUCGCCUUUUUAUCCCAAUCAUAUAGCUAUAGAUUUACCUCCAAGAAAAGAAUGUUACUAUUAAGAUUAUUGUUAUAUCAUAUACUGUUAGUUCAUUAAUCUGAUCUUAAAGUUGCCACAGUUGAUUAACGUACUCUAUCUUCAGUGUAAUUGGUAUCCGAAAGUGAUAUGUAUAUUUUCAGCCGUGAUUAGACAAUGCGGGAUGUCAUUCCGCUAUUGGAUUUCGAAGGAAAUGAAGCUAGAAACUCCCUGAUAGUUUUCUCCCUAGUCUAAAUCUUAUUGUUGACCCAUUUCUCUCAUCCUAGGUUCCAAAAGAUGCUACAUUUUCAAUCAAUUCGACUUAUAAUUUGCUUCUACUCCAUCCCUUUAAUAAGAAAUUAACUUAAUAACAUGAUCUCACUCGUUUGAAUAUUAAAAAUAGAAACCAAGUGAAAAGUAAGAUAAUAUAAAAUUAAAAUAAUAAUAAUUGUCAUGUAGGAAUGUUAAGUUUUCAGGUAACACAUAAGUUUCAUAUUAAAGGUUUACAUGAAUCUAACAUUUUCACAUCUUUACUGUUCAGUGUCUAGAACAUAGUGUGUAGAUUAUUCUUGCAAAGUUUCAUCCAAUUUGGAGAUCAUUUGAGCUCCCGUAAUUGUGAUUUACACGAACGGUUCCGUUUGGACAGAUUUUGUUUAGUUGAUUCAUUUAAUCUAAUUCGGUACUCAAAUAAUUUUCAAAUUGGAUGAAACUUUGCAUGAAUGAUCUACACAUUAUGUUCUAGACACUGAACGGUGGAGAUGUGAAAAUGUGACAUAAAAGUGAGCGAAAUAAGGAGCACCACACUUUAAUUUCAUAACGGUGUCUCACUCUGGAAUAGAACUCUUUGUGUGUGUGUGUGUGUAUAUAUAUAUAUUGCAAAUGUGAUAAAUGGUAGUUCAAAUACAUCAUAUGUACGAUGCAAUGCUUAAAUCAACACAGCAAUGCUUAAAACAAUGUGUUGAUGAUGUGUGAUCAACGUUCAUAUUUUCGGAUGAAUUAUGAAGUAUAUUAAGAAUAAUAAUGGUAAGUGAACCACAUUUUAGGAAACCAUGUACAUUCAUCUAGAAGAACGACUAUAUUUUCGGAUCAAUUAUGAAGUAUAUUAAGAAGAAUAAUGGUAAGUGAACCACAUUUUAGGAAACCAUGUACAUUCAUCUAGAUGAAUAACGACUGACAAAACUAGAAAUUAGUUUUCAUAUGCGAAUUAACGAUUGAAAUUAUUGAUAUAUACACCACCGGAGAUAUAAUAUCACCGCAUGCAUAAAGUAUCAGAUAUGUAUAAGAAUUAUUACUUUUCAGAUGAUCAUCACUAAGUUCACACUUUGUUGAUGAUAUAUACGGGUCACUAAUUUAUACCUUGAUCAUAUAUGAAUCUGUUGUGAUAGGUAGGCAAUAUUGUCAACAAGAGGCGAAUCCUGAAAAGCCAGAGAUGGGCUUUGAACAACGUACAGCAGAAAGAUGAGCUUGCUUUUACCUCAAUAUAUCGAUCUCAGCUUACUGCAUAAACACCCACCUUGAUUUAAUCCACAAAAAAUUAUUGCUCUUGCUUUUAUCUCCAGGAAAGAUUUUUUUGCAAGAUAUUUGAUAUCGAGCAGUGCGAGUGUCAUUAUCUUUGAUAUGGGAAUGGGAGUGAUUAGACAUAGUUAAGUAUAUUCUAUCGACUCGUUGAGGUCACUAAAAAUUGACAACAAGAUCGAGAGGCCUAUCUUUCCUCUUUCUCUGCUGACUCCACUAUGGGACCGUUGUUGCAAUCGUCGAAAGGGAAUCAUUAUCUUAAAACCACACAAAUUAAAUACCCCUUUAAUCACCUUCCUAACCCAGGAAAGAGUACAAACCAACUUUAUUAAAUUUCGCAUCAUUGCUGCUUAAUUUUGGUAAUGCUAUUGUGAUAUCUCAUGAAAAUGCGCUGUUAUCUUCUUUCUGAAAGAUGCUUUCUCAAAGCCUAGCUCUAUGAGUAAAAUCCCACCACAAAAUCUUAGCCGCCUCCGAUUCAUUAUCAUCAAAUUGUUCCAAACUGAAAGAAAAAUUUAUUAUUAUUGGACUUCCCUGACUUGCUUUCUCAG